Molecule: ribosomal RNA, 448 nt
Filed under: uncultured bacterium
Lineage: Bacteria
Description: partial 16S ribosomal RNA
Rfam family: Bacterial small subunit ribosomal RNA
Source: RNAcentral
UUGCCAGACUCCUACGGGAGGCAGCAGUGGGGAAUAUUGCACAAUGGGGGGAACCCUGAUGCAGCGACGCCGCGUGAGGGAAGAAGGUUUUUGGAUUGUAAACCUCUGUCCUUGGUAAAGAAGCAAGACGGUAGCCAAGGAGGAAGCCACGGCUAACUACGUGCCAGCAGCCGCGGUAAUACGUAGGUGGCAAGCGUUGUCCGGAAUUACUGGGUGUAAAGGGAGCGUAGGCGGUUAUGCAAGUUGAAUGUGAAAUCUAUCGGCUCAACUGAUAGGCUGCGUUCAAAACUGUAUAUCUUGAGUGAAGUAGAGGCAGGCGGAAUUCCUAGUGUAGCGGUGAAAUGCGUAAAUAUUAGGAGGAACACCAGUGGCGAAGGCGGCCUGCUGGGCUUUAACUGACGCUGAGGCUCGAAAGCGUGGGUAGCAAACAGGAUUAGAUACCCGAGUA